RNAcentral lists this ribosomal RNA (2324 nucleotides) under Mycoplasma sp. Phocoena C-269. RNAcentral describes it as "bacterial LSU rRNA". The stretch from base 1 to 1494 matches the Rfam family "Bacterial small subunit ribosomal RNA". Lineage: Bacteria; Bacillati; Mycoplasmatota; Mollicutes; Mycoplasmatales; Mycoplasmataceae. The record is from RNAcentral.
GGAUGAACGCUGGCUGUGUGCCUAAUACAUGCAUGUCGAGCGGAGUUCUUCGGAACUUAGCGGCGAAUGGGUGAGUAACACGUACUUAACAUACCUUUUGGUUUGGGAUAACGUUUGGAAACAGACGCUAAUACCGGAUAUUUGUUUUAAUCGCAUGAUUGAAACAUAAAAGGGGCUUCAAAGCCUCGCCUUAAGAUUGGGGUGCGUAACAUUAGUUAGUUGGUAAGGUAACGGCUUACCAAGACGAUGAUGUUUAGCCGGGUUGAGAGACCGACCGGCCACACUGGGACUGAGAUACGGCCCAGACUCCUACGGGAGGCAGCAGUAGGGAAUAUUCCACAAUGGGCGAAAGCCUGAUGGAGCGACACAGCGUGCACGAUGACGCCCUUCGGGGUGUAAAGUGCUGUUAUAAGAGAAGAAAAAGUAGUGUAGGAAAUGACAUUACCUUGACGGUAUCUUAUCAGAAAGUGACGGCUAACUAUGUGCCAGCAGCCGCGGUAAUACAUAGGUCACGAGCGUUAUCCGAAAUUAUUGGGCGUAAAGCGUCCGUAGGUUGUUUGUUAAGUCUAGCGUUAAAUCUUGGGGCUCAACCCCAUUCCGCGUUAGAUACUGGCAAGCUAGAGUUAUAUAGAGGUUAGUGGAAUUCAAUGUGAAGCGGUGGAAUGCGUAGAUAUAUUGAAGAACACCAAUGGCGAAGGCAGCUAACUGGGUAUAAACUGACACUGAGGGACGAAAGCGUGGGGAGCAAACAGGAUUAGAUACCCUGGUAGUCCACGCCGUAAACGAUGAUCAUUAGUUGGUGGAAAAUUCACUAACACAGCUAACGCAUUAAAUGAUCCGCCUGAGUAGUAUGCUCGCAAGAGUGAAACUUAAAGGAAUUGACGGGGAUCCGCACAAGCGGUGGAGCAUGUGGUUUAAUUUGAAGAUACGCGUAGAACCUUACCCACACUUGACAUCUUCUGCAAUGCUAUGGAGACAUAGCGGAGGUUAACAGAAUGACAGGUGGUGCAUGGUUGUCGUCAGCUCGUGUCGUGAGAUGUUUGGUUAAGUCCUGCAACGAGCGCAACCCCUAUCAUUAGUUACUAACAUUAAGUUGAGGACUCUAAUGAGACUGCCCGAGUAAUCGGGAGGAAGGUGGGGACGACGUCAAAUCAUCAUGCCUCUUACGUGUGGGGCAACACACGUGCUACAAUGGAUGAUACAAAGAGAAGCAACCCGGCGACGGUGAGCAAACCUCAUAAAAUCAUUCUCAGUUCGGAUUGGAGUCUGCAACUCGACUCCAUGAAGUCGGAAUCGCUAGUAAUCGUAGGUCAGCUACACUACGGUGAAUACGUUCUCGGAUCUUGUACACACCGCCCGUCACACCAUGGGAGCUGGAAAUGCCCGAAGCCGGUUAGCUAACUUCGGAGGCGACUGUCUAAGGCAGGUCCGGUGACUGGGGUGAAGUCGUAACAAGGUAUCCCUACGAGAACGUGGGGAUGGAUCACCUCCUUUCUACGGAGAGUACAAUCUAUUUACGAUGGCACAACUAAAUCUUUAUUGCAACAAACACUGAAUAAUCAGCGCAGUAAAGUCUGUUAUGAGAAACACGCCAUAGUUUCGUUAUAUCUAGUUUUGAGAGUUCUACUCUCUAAUAGUUCUUUGAAAACUGAAUACAUUAAUAUGAAAAGACAUCAAAUUAAACAAACAAACAAAAUUAAGUUUUUAUUAUAAGUAAUAAAAAAUAAUUUUAUCGAGUUAAAAACAAAUGAAAAGAUUCAUUUAAAUGUCUUAAAAUACUUAAAUCAACAACAAUAGGAACAUACAAAUACUAUUAACAAUAUUAAAUAAGUAAGAGUUUGUGGUGGAUGCCUUGGGUCUGGAAGUCGAUGAAGGACGUGAUAACCUGCGAUAAGCCUCGUGGAGCUGGAAAUACGCUUUGAUACGGGGAUUUCCGAAUGGGGAAACCUAGCUAGACUAAUCUCUAGUUGACACUCAGUGAAUACAUAGCUGAGUAGUACGAAACACCUUGUGAAUUGAAACAUCUUAGUAGCAAGAGGAAAAGAAAAUAAAUAAUGAUUCCAUCAGUAGCGGCGAGCGAACGUGGAAGAGCCCAAACCGUCAAAAUUGACGGGGUUGUAGGACAAUCUACAUAGAGUUACAAAACUUACAGAUAGCAGAAGGCUUUGGAAAAUGCCGGCAUAGAGGGUGAUACCCCCGUAUGCGAAAUCUGUGAGACUCUUGGUUGUAUCCUGAGUAGGGCGGGGCACGUGAAACCCUGUCUGAAUCCGCCAGGACCACCUGGCAAGGCUAAAUACUAACCAGACACCGAUAGCGAACUAGUA